This 704-nucleotide ribosomal RNA is filed under the name uncultured bacterium. RNAcentral's name for it is "bacterial SSU rRNA". It matches the Rfam family "Bacterial small subunit ribosomal RNA", at positions 778 to 1482 of the family's 1533-position model. The record is from RNAcentral.
UUAGAUACCCUUGUAGUCCACGCCCUAAACGAUGAGUGCUAGAUAUCGGGAGUUUACUCUCGGUUUCGCAGCUAACGCAUUAAGCACUCCGCCUGGGGAGUACGGUCGCAAGAUUAAAACUCAAAGGAAUUGACGGGGGCUCGCACAAGCGGUGGAGCAUGCGGUUUAAUUCGAUGCUACGCGAAAAACCUUACCAACCCUUGACAUGGUGGUCGUAGAUUAUGGAGACAUAUUCGUCAGUUCGGCUGGACCACACACAGGUGUUGCAUGGCUGUCGUCAGCUCGUGUCGUGAGAUGUUGGGUUAAGUCCCGCAACGAGCGCAACCCUCAUCCUUAUUUGCCAGCGAGUAAUGUCGGGAACUAUAAGGAAACUGCCGGUGAUAAGCCGGAGGAAGGUGGGGACGAUGUCAAGUCAUCAUGGCCCUUACGGGUUGGGCUACACGCGUGCUACAAUGGUAUCUACAGAGGGAAGCAAUACGGCGACGUGGAGCAAAUCCUUAAAAGAUAUCUCAGUUCGGAUUGCACUCUGCAACUCGAGUGCAUGAAGUUGGAAUCGCUAGUAAUCGCGGAUCAGAAUGCCGCGGUGAGUACGUUCUCGGGCCUUGUACACACUGCCCGUCACGCCAUGGAAAUUGGUUUUACCCGAUGCUGGUGAGCUGACCGCAAGGAAGCAGCCAACCACGGUAGAAUUGGUAACUGGGGUG